Molecule: unclassified non-coding RNA, 243 nt
Filed under: uncultured Ascomycota
Lineage: Eukaryota; Fungi; Ascomycota
Description: sequence contains ITS2
Rfam family: 5.8S ribosomal RNA (bases 1-52)
Source: RNAcentral
AACGCACAUUGCGCCCUGUGGUAUUCCGCAGGGCAUGCCUGUUCGAGCGUCAGCACAGCACUCAAGCCCCAGCUUGGUCUUGAGCCCAGCCGGUCACGGCGGGCUUUAAAAUUAGUGGCGGCGCCCCCUGGCUCUGAGCGUAGUAGUAAGACCCUCGCUUCUGAGUCCCGGCGGGCGCUGGCCAGCAACCCCCAACCUCCUCAGUUUGACCUCGGAUCAGGUAGGGAUACCCGCUGAACUUAA